GACGAACGCUGGCGGCGUGCCUAACACAUGCAAGUCGAACGGGACCAGCAAUGGUUCAGUGGCGAACGGGUGCGUAACACGUGAGGAACGUAGCCAUCGGCGGGGGAUAGCCGGCCCAACGGCCGGGUAAUACCGCGUACGACCUUCGGGUGGCAUCACCUGGAGGUGAAAGCAGCAAUGCACCGAUGGGGCGCCUCGCGGCCUAUCAGCUAGUUGGUGAGGUAACGGCUCACCAAGGCUACGACGGGUAGCUGGUCCGAGAGGAUGACCAGCCACAUUGGGACUGAGACACGGCCCAGACUCCUACGGGAGGCAGCAGUGGGGAAUAUUGCGCAAUGGGCGAAAGCCUGACGCAGCGACGCCGCGUGUGGGAUGAAGGUCUUCGGAUUGUAAACCACUGUCGGGAGGGACGAAGCUCUGACGGUACCUCCAAAGGAAGCACCGGCUAACUCUGUGCCAGCAGCCGCGGUAAU
RNAcentral lists this ribosomal RNA (473 nucleotides) under uncultured bacterium. RNAcentral's name for it is "bacterial SSU rRNA". It matches the Rfam family "Bacterial small subunit ribosomal RNA", at positions 28 to 524 of the family's 1533-position model. The record is from RNAcentral.